AACGAACGCUGGCGGCAUGCCUAACACAUGCAAGUCGAACGAGACCUUCGGGUCUUGGGGCGCACGGGUGCGUAACGCGUGGGAACCUGCCCUUAGGUUCGGUAUAACUCCCCGUAAGGGGAGCUAAUACCGGUUAAUGUCUUCGGGCCAACGAUUUAUCGCCUUGGGAUGGGCCCGCGUUGGAUUAGCUAGUUGGUAGGGUAAAAGCCUACCAACGCGACGAUCCAUAGCUGGUCUGUUAGGAUGAUCAGCCACACUGGGACUGAGACCCGGCCCAGACUCCUACGGAAGGCAGCAGUGGGGAAUAUUGGACACUGGGCGCUAGCCUGAUCCCGCAAUGUCGCGUAAGUGAUGAAGGCCUGAGGGUUGUAAAGCUCUUUUACCCGGGAUGAUAAUGACAGUACCGGGAGAAUAAGCACCGGCUAACUACGUG
RNAcentral lists this ribosomal RNA (433 nucleotides) under uncultured bacterium. Its description in RNAcentral is "partial 16S ribosomal RNA". It matches the Rfam family "Bacterial small subunit ribosomal RNA", at positions 29 to 507 of the family's 1533-position model. The record is from RNAcentral.